GACUGCUAAAGAAGCUUUGGAAGUUGC
This 27-nucleotide small RNA is filed under the name Bombyx mori (domestic silkworm). Its description in RNAcentral is "ovarian small RNA-15636". Lineage: Eukaryota; Metazoa; Arthropoda; Insecta; Lepidoptera; Bombycidae. The record is from RNAcentral.